GGUAAAUGCUGAAUGAUCCAAUAGUUCCAGACAGGAAGUCCAGGAGCCUUUGACUACGCCCUGGCAGGUAUAGAGAAGUCCAGGAGCCUUUGACUACGCCCUGGCAGGUAUAUAGUAAAGGCCAGGAGCCUUUGACUACGCCCUGGCAAUGGUAAGUACAGAGGUGUUAUAUACACAUAUACAUAUAUCACAGGAAGACCAGGUGCUCGAUUCUACUCCCUGGCACAGAGUUACUGGGACUAUGUGGUGACAGGUUUAUCUUUGAUGUGGAUUGUUUGUGUUAUGACGCAUUCCAUGAGAUCAUAUUUUACUGAGAUGUUUUACUGUUCUACUCACUGGGCGAUAGAGCUCAUCCCACUCCCUUAACCCCAGUUUUGCAGGUUCAGUGUACAGGGACAGUCCAGCAGAGUACAGAAAGAGUAAAGAGAAAUGGAAUAGUAUAGAGUGGACAUGUAACUUUUAAAGAGAUGUAAUAGUUGUGUAUAAAGUUAGAGUUGUGCUUGACUUAGUUGUAAAAGCUUUUGUUACGUACCUGAUCUGUAUAUAUAUAUAUGUUUUAUUACCAGGCUUAACAGAUAUGAACCCAUCUAGAGAAAGCUCUAGUCAGGGGUACAGCGUACAGAGUACAGAGUACAGAGUACAGAGUACAGAGAUAGUGCAUGCACAGGUUAAGACUUGGUACAGAGAAAAGAGUUUUUAUUUUUACAGAUAUGUAUGAUCAUGUAAGAGUUUUACAGGUACACAGAGAGUAUAGCAGGCUUGCUACGGGUUCUGGCGGCCUUAAGCCGACCCGAAUCCUAGCGCCGGUGACGGUCCAUUUUGGGGUCGUUACAAAUUGGUAUCAGAGCCCUAGGUUCACAUGAUCGGACCUAUAGAGACAGUGUUGGGCUCAUAGACGGUAGAAGUGGUCAAGCACAGUAGGAAAUCAUGUCCACUAGGAUAGGGUUUUGAGUCCUAUCUAUGAUAUGCCAUGAGGUAUGCAUGUGCUUUAUUGCUAUGUGUUGUUUAUGUGCUAAAGUGUUAUGUUGUGUGUUGUUUUCCAGAGAGUAAAGAUGAGAGGAACUCAUCGAUCAGCUCGAUUGACUGGAGUCCCACCAGAGAGUGAGAGACCAGCUGCUCAUCCACCUACAUUGCCGAGGGCAAGGUCUCAGAGAUCUAGCAGGGAAGGUACGUCAAUAGACCCUAGAAGGUCUGUAGACGAGAGCAGAAGGGGAACAGCUAGGGGAGAAAGAUCAGAGGAAAGGAGGGAAGCAAUGGAGAUUGAUCAGUCUAGAGAUGACAGCUUGGGUAUAGGCAGAUUUGAGGAAGGUAUGGGAGAAUCGCAGGGAGGUGCUCAGACCUCAGGUUUUGGCUAUCCAGAGUAUCCGAUGGGACGUAUGUCGGAGUACUCUAGUUUUGUGCCAUAUCCUCCUUACAUGCCCUAUAUGCCUUAUCCGUACUAUCCACCAUAUCCUAUGUAUCCAUCUUCCCCUACCCAUCCAAGUGCAGCACACCCAGAGCCAAAUGAACCAGUACCACCACCAGAACCAGUAGCCCCUGUUGAUAGACAUCAACCUAGCUCCUCAGGAGAUAAAGUGCAAAUGACGGAGUACUUGAAAUUGGAUGCUCCUAAAUAUAACACGGGAGAUGAUCCAUUUGAUUACCUCAGAGCAGUUAGGAUGAUCACCAGUGAAUUGGGAGCAGAUGAUAGGAGAGCCAUUGAGAUGGCAGGUUUCACAUUAAAAUGCAAGAAAGCCAGAGAAUGGUUUAAGAAUUAUAUGGAACCCAGAAUGGACAGCAUGUCAUGGGGAGAGUUCACCAAUGAGUUUGCAGGGUGGGCUUUUCCUGACAGUUCUCGGGAGAUGAAAGUGAUAGAGUUCGAACAGUUGAGACAGACAGAUGAGAUGAGUGUUGAUGAAUUCAUAGAUAAGUUCCUGGAUUUGCUUCAGUAUGUGGGUCAAGCCUAUGAUACUGAUCAGAAGAAGGCAAGGAGAUAUACUAUGAGAUUGCAUCCCAGGUAUUCUUCCUUGAUUCUUCCAGCAGAAAAGGAGAGUUUCCACACCAUAGUGGACGCAGCCAGGAAAAUGGAAGCUAGUGCCAAUAUUCAGAAAUAGUCAAAGGCACAGGCUUCGAGUUCUAAAGCCCCCAGUGCAGGCACGUCAGGCAGCAAGAGAUGGGACAGAGCAAAAGGAACAAAGAGUAAGUUCUGGAGUAAAGUGAAGUCAGGUCUGGGAAUAGGUAGUGGCUUAAGCUCUGGCACAGCUCCAGUCUGCAGAAGAUGCGGAAAACCACAUGGAGGAGUUUGUCGGUUGGGAUCUACAGCUUGUUUUAGAUGUGGAAAGGAAGGGCAUAUUGCUCGGGAUUGUCCGCAGGUGACUUUUGCACCAUCCCAGCAGAUGAGUUCAGGCAGUGUGGUACAGCCAGUUGGUCAGCCAGCAGCUCCAGUCAUGCCUCAGAGUAGUGGCAGAGGUAGAGGGAGAGGGGCAGCCUCUACUUCAGCAGCAGGUUCUCGAGGUGGAAAUCCGGUAGCCCCAGCACGGAUUUUCACUGUGACACAGGAGGAGGCGAACACAGUGGUGUCAGGUAAUCUCAUCAUUGGGUGUUCAGAUGUGUAUGCUUUGAUGGACCCCGGUGCUUCUCAUUCCUUUAUUGCUUCGAGAGCCAUAGAGAGAUUGGGGUUGAUCAGUUCUGAGUUAGAGUAUCCUCUCUGGGUCAGUGGACCUAAGUGCGACCCAUCAGUGGCAGUGUCAGUCUGUCGUUUCAGUCCAGUGUUUAUAGAGGGUAGAUACCUUCCAGCUGACCUUGUGGUUCUAGAUUUGACGGAUUUUGAUGUCAUUCUAGGGAUGGAUUGGUUAUCUACAUAUAGUGCUACGUUGGACUGUAGAGAGAAGAUAGUGAGUCUCAGAGACCAGGAUGGGUCAGAGUGUGUCUUCAGAGGAGACAGGAGAGGUACACCCAGAGGUAUGAUUUCAGCCCUUCAGGCUCGUCGUUU
Molecule: long non-coding RNA, 2971 nt
Filed under: Manihot esculenta (cassava)
Lineage: Eukaryota; Viridiplantae; Streptophyta; Magnoliopsida; Malpighiales; Euphorbiaceae
Description: long non-coding RNA (MESC_LNC003418)
Source: RNAcentral